RNAcentral lists this ribosomal RNA (254 nucleotides) under uncultured bacterium. RNAcentral's name for it is "partial 16S ribosomal RNA". It matches the Rfam family "Bacterial small subunit ribosomal RNA", at positions 524 to 776 of the family's 1533-position model. The record is from RNAcentral.
UACGAAGGGGACUAGCGUUGUUCGGAAUCACUGGGCGUAAAGCGCACGUAGGCGGAUAUGUCAGUCAGGGGUGAAAUCCCGGGGGCUCAACCUCGGAACUGCCUUUGAUACAGCAUAUCUUGAGUCCGAUAGAGGUGGGUGGAAUUCCUAGUGUAGAGGUGAAAUUCGUAGAUAUUAGGAAGAACACCGGUGGCGAAGGCGGCCCACUGGAUCGGUACUGACGCUGAGGUGCGAAAGCGUGGGGAGCAAACAGG